This 297-nucleotide ribosomal RNA is filed under the name Triticum aestivum (bread wheat). RNAcentral's name for it is "partial small subunit ribosomal RNA". Lineage: Eukaryota; Viridiplantae; Streptophyta; Magnoliopsida; Poales; Poaceae. The record is from RNAcentral.
AUGUUGUAUAUCAAAUCAGAGUGGGACAGAGAAGUGGAAAUUGAAAUCAUAGAAGGCGAGGAAGACCUCAACCCUGAUCCAUAUGAUCUCAUCUACAGCAACAUACCAACAAGCACAAACAUGCUCGAAAAAGAAGAAGAUUGCGAUUUCUGCCAUGCAACCAAAUUCAAGUAUGAAAGUCCGGGAUUAUGCUGCAAAAAAGGACAGAUAAGGCUAGCCAAUCCAAAUACACCACCGGAACUUAUGAGGCUUUGGACAAGCAACGACUCUGAGCAAGACAUUUUCGGCAAAAUAUAA